CACGUAGGCGGACUGGAAAGUUGGAGGUGAAAUCCCAGGGCUCAACCUUGGAACUGCCUUCAAAACUAUCAGUCUGGAGUUCGAGAGAGGUGAGUGGAAUUCCGAGUGUAGAGGUGAAAUUCGUAGAUAUUCGGAGGAACACCAGUGGCGAAGGCGGCUCACUGGCUCGAUACUGACGCUGAGGUGCGAAAGUGUGGGGAGCAAAACA
Molecule: ribosomal RNA, 208 nt
Filed under: uncultured bacterium
Lineage: Bacteria
Description: partial 16S ribosomal RNA
Rfam family: Bacterial small subunit ribosomal RNA
Source: RNAcentral